UUUGUGUGUGCCAUAUCAGUAAAUAUCAUCAGGAUAUAAUUUUAUCUGGCAAAAUGAUUGUCCUGUUAUACAUGUAUAUUGUAUUGAAAAAAAAAGAAAGAAUAUUUUCAAUCUACAACUAUAUAUUUUUUUUUAACCAGCGGACUGUGCAUAUUCAAAGCACUAAUAGUUUUGCUUACUGCUUGAUAUCUGUAGGUAUUUUACCCUCAGAAACCACUGUAUAUAUUGCUAUAUUGUCUUAAUUUGGUAAUAAGGGAUGUCCAAUUUAAGAUCCAUCAUCCCCCUGUUGCAUGAUCAUACAUGUCUAAAAAUUUGCUUUAACACUUCAAAAAUCUAAUUUCAAAUUAAAUUGCACAUUUUGAGCAAUGUAUCUGCUGGGGACAAAAAUGGCCCUUGCAACAAUAUUAUAAAGGAAUAGAAGUUAUUUACCAAACUGAGAGUUAUCUUUCUUAUCAGAGGACAGUGAACCUUAAAUCAUAACUAAAAAAAAUAUAGACAAGUGCAAAUUGAUUAUUUUUAUAUCAAUUUUCCAAAUUUAUCAGAAUGUGAUUUUAAGUAUUUUUCGGACAGCCAAGGCUGACGUCAUUAGUUAUUACGCUGCAGCCUGGAGUACACUGAAGUCCUUUACUGCACUUCAUUUCUUGAGAUCAAAUCCCUUGCUGUCAUACAGAUCACUGCUGCCUUUGGUUUACAAUAAAUGUAGUGAACUCACACAAGUCUUAUCACUUGGUAACAAAAAGAACAGAAUUGUUAAAAACUUUAAUCACUAAAUACUUGUACGUUCUUGAUGGAAAAGGGUAUCUGUGAUUGGUAUAUACUCAUAUUACUGUGAUGAUGUUUAUUUUAGGAAAUUUGUUGAUAAGUUUAUCAUUUUUAAUCACUGUACAUUAUCUAUUUUAAUUGAUAAACAGCAUUUUUAAUUAUCUUUAAGGAGUCGCUGGUCGACGGUAUUUUUAUUUUUAUUUGUUGAUGUUCAUGUUACCAUAAAUAUUGGUAUCUUGUGCAUUGAAUAAAACCAGUAAAAAUGUUUAUUAAUAGAAAUACUUCCAAGAAUUGUUCUUUUGGAUUAUGUUUGAGUGUAACAUCAUAUUUAAAUGAGAUAUUACACAACUGGAGAAUUAAUUUUUUGUAAAAUUAACAACUACAUUUGGAUAACUUUUUGUAUUUAGCAGGGUUAAACUAUAUCGUGCUAUCCAGUUUCCAAUCAUACAUUCCAGAUCAACAUCAUUUUCAUUUGUUUCGUAUUUACAGUUUUUAGAAUAAAAUUGUUUAUCACAUG
Saccostrea echinata is the source of this 1279-nucleotide long non-coding RNA. RefSeq lists it as uncharacterized. The record is from RefSeq and is a predicted model, not a curated record. NCBI's taxonomy places the organism in Eukaryota, Metazoa, Mollusca, Bivalvia, Ostreida, Ostreidae. The transcript is spliced from 2 exons.